AACCUUACCCGGAAGGGUAGAUACCGUGAUCAAAGGUGCUUUUACCAGGGUGAGGCUUAUCUAUUUCAGUCAGGAUGUGCAGACCCAUGUGAUGUCCCCAAAUGUGGGAAACUGGACUACAUAAUUCAUGGUUGUGGGGACUGCGUUCCUGCUCUGCCCCAG
This is a small nuclear RNA of Artibeus jamaicensis (Jamaican fruit-eating bat), 162 nucleotides long. RefSeq annotates it as U1 spliceosomal RNA. The record is from RefSeq and is a predicted model, not a curated record. The transcript has a single exon. NCBI's taxonomy places the organism in Eukaryota, Metazoa, Chordata, Mammalia, Chiroptera, Phyllostomidae.